GAGAUUGUUAGCUAGUUCACACCGAUAUACCAAGUGAUAGCCACGAAGACUGAAUCUGUGAACAGUUUUAGCAGUAUAAGAUAAUUAUUAACGACAGAAGCAUUAUUAAAAAAAACGGCGAGAGUUAGUCAUACAAAAUUCGGUAAACCCCAUCAACGUGGGGUGUUUGCGUAGGCUGGAAAAGCGCAUGAACCUGCUGUCACCCGGCGUGCUAGCGUCGCGGGCGCAACCCGAAUCUCAAUAUUGUUGGCGCAAGGAGAACCACGUGUGAGAAGCAAUGUUAAACCCGCUUCUCUAACUGCUCGAAUUCGUCUGAACAUAACCCGAGCUGCUUGAAAACGCCUGCUGGUCCCGCUAAACCACUGGCUGCGUGAUCUCCACAUUCAAGCCGUGCUCCGACCGUUGCACGUGGUCAACAAUCGAAUCGGGCCGAAAGUCCUCACAACGUAAAGUUCACCACUCGCUUCACCGUACCUACUGUGACCGCCGAUAUACACCGCCUACAUCGAGAUCGUGAAGGAUCGCCGUUGGAGAUUGUGGCAAGUACUGUACCAAGAAAAAAAGAAGACCAUAGUGUUACGCUAGGUGAAAACCAUGUACUCAGGCUUAGGCUAGGUUGCAUACCUGCAGGUAGAAUAUAGAAGAGCUCUUAACGGUUAACUAAAUAUACCUUCUUCGCUAAAGUGAUCGAUUCAAAUAUUAGCUGUAAAUUUCGAUGAUUUGCUAGAGGCCCAAGAAUUAUCUUUCGAAUCGGUGUCCAUAAGUUGGUCGUUCGGAU
Long non-coding RNA from Topomyia yanbarensis, 778 nucleotides. RefSeq lists it as uncharacterized. The record is from RefSeq and is a predicted model, not a curated record. Lineage: Eukaryota; Metazoa; Arthropoda; Insecta; Diptera; Culicidae. The transcript has 3 exons.